CUUUCGAAAGAAAGAUUAAUACCCGAUGGUAUAAUAUUCCUGCAUGGGAUUAUUAUUAAAGAAUUUCGGUUAUCGAUGGGGAUGCGUUCCAUUAGGCAGUUGGCGGGGUAACGGCCCACCAAACCUUCGAUGGAUAGGGGUUCUGAGAGGAAGGUCCCCCACACUGGAACUGAGACACGGUCCAGACUCCUACGGGAGGCAGCAGUGAGGAAUAUUGGUCAAUGGACGCAAGUCUGAACCAGCCAAGUAGCGUGAAGGAUGACUGCCCUAUGGGUUGUAAACUUCUUUUAUAUGGGAAUAAAACACUCCACGUGUGGAGCUUUGUAUGUACCAUUAUGAAUAAGCAUCGGCUAACUCCGUGCCAGCAGCCGCGGUAAUACGGAGGAUGCGAGCGUUAUCCGGAUUUAUUGGGUUUAAAGGGAGCGUAGGUGGAUUGAUAAGUCAGCCUGUGAAAGUUUGCGGCUCAACCGUAAAAUUGCAGUUGAUACUGUCAGUCUUGAGUACAGUAGAGGUUAGCGGAAUUCGUGGUGUAGCGGUGAAAUGCUUAGAUAUCACGAAGAACUCCAAUUGCGAAGGCAGCUGACUAGACUGUAACUGACACUGAGGCUCGAAAGUGUGGGUAUCAAACAGGAUUAGAUACCCCUGGUAGUCCACACAGUAAACGAUGAAUACUCGCUGUUUGCGA
This 685-nucleotide ribosomal RNA is filed under the name uncultured bacterium. RNAcentral's name for it is "bacterial SSU rRNA". It matches the Rfam family "Bacterial small subunit ribosomal RNA", at positions 148 to 829 of the family's 1533-position model. The record is from RNAcentral.